Molecule: transfer RNA, 72 nt
Filed under: Strongylocentrotus purpuratus (purple sea urchin)
Lineage: Eukaryota; Metazoa; Echinodermata; Echinoidea; Camarodonta; Strongylocentrotidae
Rfam family: tRNA
About the family: Transfer RNA (tRNA) molecules are approximately 80 nucleotides in length.
Source: Rfam by way of RNAcentral
GGCAUGGUGGCUCAGUGGUUAGAGCGCCUGCCUCAUGAAAGGAGGUCCUGGGUUCAAUCCCCGGCCGAGUCA